UGCCAGCAGCCGCGGUAAUACAGAGACCUCAAGCGUUGUCCGGAUUUAUUGGGCGUAAAGGGUCCGUAGGCGGUUUUAUAAGUCGUUUGUUAAAUUUUCAGGCUCAACCUGGAAGCUGCGAACGAUACUGUGAAACUUGAGGCCGGGAGAGGUACACGGAAUUGUUGGUGUAGCGGUAAAAUGCGUUAAUAUCAACAAGAACACCAAAUGCGAAGGCAGUGUACUGGAACGAGCCUGACGCUCAGGGACGAAAGCGUGGGUAGCGAAUGGGAUUAGAUA
Molecule: ribosomal RNA, 279 nt
Filed under: uncultured bacterium
Lineage: Bacteria
Description: partial 16S ribosomal RNA
Rfam family: Bacterial small subunit ribosomal RNA
Source: RNAcentral